This 253-nucleotide ribosomal RNA is filed under the name uncultured bacterium. Its description in RNAcentral is "partial 16S ribosomal RNA". It matches the Rfam family "Bacterial small subunit ribosomal RNA", at positions 524 to 776 of the family's 1533-position model. The record is from RNAcentral.
UACGGAGGGUGCAAGCGUUAUCCGGAUUCACUGGGUUUAAAGGGUGCGUAGGCGGACAGGUAAGUCAGUGGUGAAAUCUCUGGGCUUAACCCAGAAACUGCCGUUGAUACUAUUUGUCUUGAAUAUCCUGGAGGUAGGCGGAAUAUGUCAUGUAGCGGUGAAAUGCUUAGAUAUGACAUAGAACACCGAUAGCGAAGGCAGCUUACUACAGGACGAUUGACGCUGAGGCACGAAAGCGUGGGGAGCAAACAGG